UGGGAACUGCAUUCGAAACUGGCAGGCUUGAGUCUUGUAGAGGGGGGUAGAAUUCCAGGUGUAGCGGUGAAAUGCGUAGAGAUCUGGAGGAAUACCGGUGGCGAAGGCGGCCCCCUGGACAAAGACUGACGCUCAGGUGCGAAAGCGUGGGGAGCAAACAGGAUUAGAUACCCUGGUAGUCCACGCCGUAAACGAUGUCUACUUGGAGGUUGUGCCCUUGAGGCGUGGCUUCCGGAGCUAACGCGUUAAGUAGACCGCCUGGGGAGUACGGCCGCAAGGUUAAAACUCAAAUGAAUUGACGGGGGCCCGCACAAGCGGUGGAGCAUGUGGUUUAAUUCGAUGCAACGCGAAGAACCUUACCUGGUCUUGACAUCCACAGAA
RNAcentral lists this ribosomal RNA (381 nucleotides) under Salmonella enterica subsp. enterica serovar Montevideo str. CFSAN004346. RNAcentral describes it as "bacterial SSU rRNA". It matches the Rfam family "Bacterial small subunit ribosomal RNA", at positions 615 to 995 of the family's 1533-position model. The record is from RNAcentral. Lineage: Bacteria; Pseudomonadati; Pseudomonadota; Gammaproteobacteria; Enterobacterales; Enterobacteriaceae.